UGAGUUAACAAUCUUCAAAUGCAAUGAAAUAUCUCAUAUGAUGAACUAUUUAAUAAAUGAAGGAACGAAGACUCCAGAAAUAAUGGAACUUGUGUUGUCAGCUUUACGAGAUUUGGUUGCCAAUGUUCGUAAAAAAUAUAGAGUCGAAGAAGAAACCAGUAUUGGUAAUAAUAUUGAGGGUGGUGAAAGCAAUAUAUUUGUCAAUGCACAUUCUAAGAACUCCUACGUAGUACUUGAUCUGAUGGUUGUUAAUACUAAAGACCGAACGAGUAAAAGAUUUAAAUCUGGCAAAGAGGAGAAAAGUAAGUUAUGUCGUGGGUGUAAAAAGUGGGUUAUGGGCAUGAUAAAUGAAAUUGUCCUAUAUAUAACCAACUUGAUAAUGCAUCUAGAUAAGCCAGGUAUAUAUAUUUUUUCUUGUAUUUUUAUUUGAUUUCUUACAUGCAUUGUAUUCUUUUAAUCUAUAUUCAUUAUUCACACGGUUUUUGCACUAAUGUUCAAAGAGGAAAGGGAAAAGCAGUUGGUAGGCCAAGAGUAAAGAUUAUAGGACAGGGUCGUGGUAGGAUGUUUAAUCAAGAUUGAUCAGUUCCAAAGGCACGAUUUGUUAAAUAUCUACAAGCUUGCGCUAUCGGAUAUAUGAAUAAAUUAAAAUUGUUUGCUAAAAACAUACCUAUUGUAGAUCAUGGAGUUGUUGAAGCAUCCACUUGUUAGUAAGUUCGAUGACGUGGAUUGAUUUCAUUUUCAUAGCAAUAAUGUGCAUUUUUCAUUUUUUUUCCUAAAAGAAUGCUAAAUUCAUUUUACUUAUGAUUUUUUUCCUAAAUGAAUGCUAUGUUCAUUUCAUGGCAAUAAUGUGCAAAUUUUCUAAAGCUACUUAUUUACUAUAAAUGCCGGAUUGUUUGUUGUGCAUCUCUUUGUUCUUGCUGAUAAUUUGUCCUACAUGAUGAGUUGAGUGGUCUAGUUUUGGACUAAAAUCUACACAGUAAGUCCUACAUGGUUCUCAGCUCUAUCCCUAUGCAUGGUAGUUUGGUGUGGAUUGCAUGUGGAGAUUGUGCUUCUGGCUCUAUU
Long non-coding RNA from Magnolia sinica, 1062 nucleotides. RefSeq lists it as uncharacterized. Lineage: Eukaryota; Viridiplantae; Streptophyta; Magnoliopsida; Magnoliales; Magnoliaceae. The record is from RefSeq and is a predicted model, not a curated record. The transcript has 3 exons.